RNAcentral lists this ribosomal RNA (497 nucleotides) under uncultured bacterium. RNAcentral describes it as "partial 16S ribosomal RNA". It matches the Rfam family "Bacterial small subunit ribosomal RNA", at positions 28 to 507 of the family's 1533-position model. The record is from RNAcentral.
GAUGAACGCUGGCGGCGUGCCUAAUACAUGCAAGUCGAGCGCUCAAGCGUGGUACUUGUACCUACUGCGUUAGCAGCGAACGGGUGAGUAACGCGUGGGUAAUCUGCCUUUGAGCGGGGGAUAACUUUUGGAAACGAAUGCUAAUACCGCAUAAAAUCUUUAAACACAAGGUUUAAGUUUGAAAGAUGCUAUUGCUUCACCCAAUGAUUAUCUCGCGUUGUAUUAGCUAGUUGGUGAGGUAAAGGCUCACCAAGGCGAUGAUACAUAGCCGACCUGGAAGGGUGGUCGGCCAAAUUGGGACUGAGACACGGCCCAAAAUCCUAAGGGAAGCAGCAGUAGGGAAACCUCGGCAAUGGACGAAAGUCUGAACGAGCCACGCCGCGUGGGUGAAGAAGGUUUUCGGAUCGUUAAAAUCUGUUGAUAGGGGAGAAAGUUGGUGGGAGUGGAAAACUCACCAAGUGACGGUAACUAAUCAGAAAGAGACGGCUAACUACGUG